This 497-nucleotide ribosomal RNA is filed under the name uncultured bacterium. RNAcentral's name for it is "partial 16S ribosomal RNA". It matches the Rfam family "Bacterial small subunit ribosomal RNA", at positions 28 to 507 of the family's 1533-position model. The record is from RNAcentral.
GAUGAACGCUGGCGGCGUGCCUAAUACAUGCAAGUCGAGCGAACAGACGAGGAGCUUGCUCCUCUGACGUUAGCGGCGGACGGGUGAGUAACACGUGGAUAACCUACCUAUAAGACUGGGAUAACUUCGGGAAACCGGAGCUAAUACCGGAUAAUAUAUUGAACCGCAUGGUUCAAUAGUGAAAGACGGUUUUGCUGUCACUUAUAGAUGGAUCCGCGCCGCAUUAGCUAGUUGGUAAGGUAACGGCUUACCAAGGCAACGAUGCGUAGCCGACCUGAGAGGGUGAUUGGCCACACUGGAACGGAGACACGGUCCAGACUCCUACGGGAGGCAGCAGUAGGGAAUCUGCCGCAAUGGGCGAAAGCCUGACGGAGCAACGCCGCGUGAGUGAUGAAGGUCUUCGGAUCGUAAAACUCUGUUAUUAGGGAAGAACAAAUGUGUAAGUAACUAUGCACGUCUUGACGGUACCUAAUCAGAAAGCCACGGCUAACUACGUG